Rhamnusium bicolor is the source of this 75-nucleotide non-coding RNA. NCBI's taxonomy places the organism in Eukaryota, Metazoa, Arthropoda, Insecta, Coleoptera, Cerambycidae. The record is from the annotation of a GenBank genome assembly.
GGCUUCGUUAUCGAAUGGUAAGGACAUUUGUCUCUCACUCUGGAGUCCCGGGUUCGAGUCCCGGUCGAGGAGCUA